RNAcentral lists this ribosomal RNA (320 nucleotides) under uncultured Photobacterium sp. RNAcentral's name for it is "bacterial SSU rRNA". It matches the Rfam family "Bacterial small subunit ribosomal RNA", at positions 30 to 334 of the family's 1533-position model. Lineage: Bacteria; Pseudomonadati; Pseudomonadota; Gammaproteobacteria; Vibrionales; Vibrionaceae. The record is from RNAcentral.
AUUGAACGCUGGCGGCAGGCCUAACACAUGCAAGUCGAGCGGCAGCGACAACAUUGACCCUUCGGGCGAUUUGUUGGGCGGCGAGCGGCGGACGGGUGAGUAAUGCCUGGGAAUAUGCCUUAGUGUGGGGGAUAACUAUUGGAAACGAUAGCUAAUACCGCAUAAUGCCUACGGGCCAAAGAGGGGGACCUUCGGGCCUCUCGCGCUAAGAUUAGCCCAGGUGGGAUUAGCUAGUUGGUGGGGUAACGGCUCACCAAGGCGACGAUCCCUAGCUGGUCUGAGAGGAUGAUCAGCCACACUGGAACUGAGACACGGUCCAG